This 241-nucleotide long non-coding RNA is filed under the name Elaeis guineensis (African oil palm). Its description in RNAcentral is "long non-coding RNA (EGUI_LNC012463)". Lineage: Eukaryota; Viridiplantae; Streptophyta; Magnoliopsida; Arecales; Arecaceae. The record is from RNAcentral.
AGCAAAACUAAUAAUCAGUCAGAUAGAGUUCGGAGCCAAUUGAGUAGAACAAAGACUGUAAUUGUCAAAAAGAUUCUAGACAAACUCCAGAAUUAGAAAUUGAAGAUCAGCCCGAAGAUCCUUGACAUAGAAUGCAACCUGGCCCGAAGGAGGAGAGUUCACCCAAUCAUCCGGAUCAGGAACAGAAAGUUGAUAUUGCUUCGGGAUACAAUAUUAUUUCCAGAGCCGUUCAAUAUUGGGC